CAGCCGCCACGGGAAUACGAAGGGGGCUAGCGUUGUUCGGAAUUACUGGGCGUAAAGCGCACGUAGGCGGAUAUUUAAGUCAGGGGCGAAAUCCCAGAGCUCAACUCUGGAACUGCCUUUGAUACUGGGUAUCUUGAGUAUGGAAGAGGUGAGUGGAAUUCCGAGUGUAGAGGUGAAAUUCGUAGAUAUUCGGAGGAACACCAGUGGCGAAGGCGGCUCACUGGUCCAUUACUGACGCUGAGGUGCGAAAGCGUGGGGAGCAAACAGGAUUAGAUACCCGAGUAGUCCCUGUCUCUUAUAC
Molecule: ribosomal RNA, 301 nt
Filed under: uncultured bacterium
Lineage: Bacteria
Description: partial 16S ribosomal RNA
Rfam family: Bacterial small subunit ribosomal RNA
Source: RNAcentral